This is a non-coding RNA of Rana temporaria (common frog), 794 nucleotides long. NCBI's taxonomy places the organism in Eukaryota, Metazoa, Chordata, Amphibia, Anura, Ranidae. The record is from the annotation of a RefSeq genome assembly.
UUUGCAUUGUAUAAUUUGCAUGUUUCCUGUCCCCCAUAUGUGAUGUCGGGGGGUUCCCCCCUAAUGAUUGCAGCUGUUAUAUAGGAGACAUUGUACAGGUGACAUCUCAGUAGUCUGUGUGUGUCAGUGCAGAGACAUCAAGAUGGCUUCUCAGGGGGUUCUGCUGCCUCUCAUACUGCUUUAUAUUCAGGGAUCCUGGGCAGAUAUUACACUGACACAGACUCCGAAUGAGAUCACUGCAACUCCAGGACAGACAGUCACCAUCUCAUGUAAAUGCAGUGCUGCUAUCAGCACCAGCCACUUACACUGGUACCAGCAGAAAUCAGGACAAAGUCCAACACUGAUUAUCUGGGGUACAAGCAAUCUUCACUCUGGAGUCCCAGCCAGGUUCAGUGGAUCUGGAUCUGGAACAGAUUUCACUCUUAAAAUCAGUGACAUAAAGGAAGAAGAUAUUGCAGUUUAUUCCUGUCAGCAGGUUCAGAGCCUCCCUCUCACACAGUGAUACAGAGCCGUACAAAAACCUCCUUCCUCUAUUUCUUCUACUUACAAUGAACAAUGUAUCUUGUAUAGAAAAGGCUCCAUAGUCUGUGUCUGUCACUCCAACAGACAUCCAAAUGGGUUUUCAGGUAUUCUUCUGUUCUGUCAUUUUGUUUUAUAAUCUGGGUGAGAGUUUUGUAGGGUGAGAAAGUAUAAGGUACAGUAAAAGUUGUAUAACAUGAUCUAGAUUUAUGUAUGAACACUAAGCAUGACUUUCUAUUUUCACACUGUAACGGGAUGUAUGAUCGAACAUAAAA